GAUGAACGCUGGCUACAGGCUUAACACAUGCAAGUCGAGGGGAAACGACGGGGAAGCUUGCUUCCCCGGGCGUCGACCGGCGCACGGGUGAGUAACGCGUAUCCAACCUGCCUCUGACUGAGGGAUAACCCGUCGAAAGUCGGCCUAAUACCUCAUGGCAUCGUCUGCGGGCAUCCAACGACGAUUAAAGAUUUCAUCGGUCAGAGAUGGGGAUGCGUCUGAUUAGCUUGUUGGCGGGGUAACGGCCCACCAAGGCGACGAUCAGUAGGGGUUCUGAGAGGAAGGUCCCCCACAUUGGAACUGAGACACGGUCCAAACUCCUACGGGAGGCAGCAGUGAGGAAUAUUGGUCAAUGGGCGAGAGCCUGAACCAGCCAAGUAGCGUGCAGGAUGACGGCCCUAUGGGUUGUAAACUGCUUUUAUGCGGGGAUAAAGUGAGGGACGUGUCCUUCAUUGCAGGUACCGCAUGAAUAAGGACCGGCUAAUUCCGUG
This 491-nucleotide ribosomal RNA is filed under the name uncultured bacterium. RNAcentral's name for it is "partial 16S ribosomal RNA". It matches the Rfam family "Bacterial small subunit ribosomal RNA", at positions 28 to 507 of the family's 1533-position model. The record is from RNAcentral.